ACAUAGGGUGCAAGCGUUGUCCGGAAUUAUUGGGCGUAAAGAGCUCGUAGGUGGUUCGUUACGUCGGAUGUGAAAACCUGAGGCUCAACCUCAGGCCUGCAUUCGAUACGGGCGAACUGGAGUGUGGUAGGGGAGACUGGAAUUCCUGGUGUAGCGGUGGAAUGCGCAGAUAUCAGGAGGAACACCAAUGGCGAAGGCAGGUCUCUGGGCCACUACUGACACUGAGGAGCGAAAGCGUGGGGAGCAAACAGGAUUAGAUACCCUGGUAGUCCACGCUGUAAACGGUGGGCACUAGUUGUGGGAACCUUCCACGGUUUCUGCGACGUAGCAAACGCAUUAAGUGCCCCGCCUGGGGAGUACGAUCGCAAGAUUA
Molecule: ribosomal RNA, 373 nt
Filed under: uncultured bacterium
Lineage: Bacteria
Description: bacterial SSU rRNA
Rfam family: Bacterial small subunit ribosomal RNA
Source: RNAcentral